GAAACAGUUAAAGGUCCAGAUCCACAAAGCACUACUCCCAGGCCUGCUACUACACCUAGAGAAGAGCCAAUUGCUCUGAAACGCAACCUCUCUAGGUCUGAUUCCUCUGCUACUGAUGACACACCUAAAGAGCGCAUUGGUAAGCAACAUUUUUCUGAUUAGGGUCGACAUUUUUAGUGUAGUUGUUGAGUUGUAUUAAUGCGGAUCAGUUUUCAAGUGGCCUGAAUACGUAAAUUCGUGGCACCUUCAGAUUUCAAUCCUAGACAUUUUUUGAAGCACGAUUUGCUUAUAUAUCUUAUAAUCUUAUAUAUGUUACCGUUUUUUAUUUGAAGGUGGAAAAUUAUUUGUUUUUUGAUUUUAAGUACACGAAUUCAUUUAAUAAGAUAAGGCUCGGUUGUUGUUGACUUGUGCUAUGGUUUUUUAUGUGGGUGUAUUCUGUCUAUGUUGUAUAGCACAUUGAUUUUAUUGUCAUACUGGCAUGUGUUGUGUAUUUUAUGUCUGUUUUUUAAGUUGACUAGUUUUUUGCAAUCUUUGGCAGUUCCACCAUCACCAAGGUCCCCAACUAAUUCCCUCAGGAUUGAUCGAUUCCUCCGUCCAUUUACUCUGAAAGCUGUGCAAGAACUUCUUGGUAAGACUGGGAAUGUUAGCAGUUUCUGGAUGGACCAGAU
Molecule: long non-coding RNA, 668 nt
Filed under: Vigna radiata
Lineage: Eukaryota; Viridiplantae; Streptophyta; Magnoliopsida; Fabales; Fabaceae
Description: long non-coding RNA (VRAD_LNC002233)
Source: RNAcentral